This 493-nucleotide ribosomal RNA is filed under the name uncultured Sphingobacteriales bacterium. Its description in RNAcentral is "bacterial SSU rRNA". It matches the Rfam family "Bacterial small subunit ribosomal RNA", at positions 887 to 1382 of the family's 1533-position model. Lineage: Bacteria; Pseudomonadati; Bacteroidota; Sphingobacteriia; Sphingobacteriales. The record is from RNAcentral.
GCCCGCUCAGAAACUCAAAGGAAGUUGACGGGGCCCGCACAAGCGGAGGAGCAUGUGGUUUAAUUCGAUGAUACGCGAGGAACCUUACCUGGGCUCGAACGUAAGAUGACUGUAGGUGAAAGCUUACAUCUCUUCGGAGCAUUUUACGAGGUGCUGCAUGGUUGUCGUCAGCUCGUGCCGUGAGGUGUCGGGUUAAGUCCCAUAACGAGCGCAACCCUACCUUUAGUUGCCAUCAGGUAAUGCUGGGGACUCUAAAGGAACUGCCUACGCAAGUAGUGAGGAAGCGGGGAUGACGUCAAAUCAGCACGGCCCUUACGUCCAGGGCUACACACGUGCUACAAUGGCCGAUACAGAGGGCAGCUACCUGGUGACAGGAUGCAAAUCUCCAAAGUCGGUCUCAGUUCGGAUCGGAGUCUGCAACCCGACUCCGUGAAGUUGGAUUCGCUAGUAAUCGCGCAUCAGCCAUGGCGCGGUGAAUACGUUCCCGGGCCUU